UUUUCGCAAUGCCCGAAAGGGUGACGAAGCGACGCCGCGUGGGUGAGGAAGGCCCUCGGGUUGUAAAGCCCUGUCAGGAGUUAAGAAAUGUAGGUACGCUAAUAUCGUACUUAUUUGACAAAGGCUCCAAAGGAAGCCACGGCUAACUCUGUGCCAGCAGCCGCGGUAAUACAGAGGUGGCAAGCGUUGUUCGGAAUUAUUGGGCGUAAAGAGCACGUAGGUGGAUUUGUAAGUCAGAUGUGAAAGCCUUCUGUUCAACGGGAGAAUUGCAUCUGAAACUACAAACCUUGAGUGUAGGAGGGGAGAAUGGAACUUCUGGUGGAGCGGUGAAAUGCGUAGAUAUCAGAAGGAACGCCGGCGGCGAAAGCGAUUCUCUGGCCUAUUACUGACACUCAGUGUGCGAAAGCUAGGGGAGCAAACGGGAUUAGAUACCCCGGUAGUCCUAGCCGUAAACGAUGGGCACUAAGUAGAGGGGUUUUAA
Molecule: ribosomal RNA, 481 nt
Filed under: uncultured anaerobic ammonium-oxidizing bacterium
Lineage: Bacteria
Description: bacterial SSU rRNA
Rfam family: Bacterial small subunit ribosomal RNA
Source: RNAcentral